UGGGGAAUAUUGCACAAUGGGCGCAAGCCUGAUGCAGCCAUGCCGCGUGUAUGAAGAAGGCCUUCGGGUUGUAAAGUACUUUCAGUCGGGAGGAAGGUGGUAAGGUUAAUAACCUUAUCAAUUGACGUUACCGACAGAAGAAGCACCGGCUAACUCCGUGCCAGCAGCCGCGGUAAUACGGAGGGUGCAAGCGUUAAUCGGAAUUACUGGGCGUAAAGCGCACGCAGGCGGUUGAUUGAGUCAGAUGUGAAAUCCCCGGGCUUAACCCGGGAAUUGCAUCUGAUACUGGUCAGCUAGAGGCUUGUAGAGGGGGGUAGAAUUCAAUGUGUAGCGGUGAAAUGCGUAGAGAUGUGGAGGAAUACCGGUGGCGAAGGCGGCCCCCUGGACAAAGACUGACGCUCAGGUGCGAAAGCGUGGGGAGCAAACAGG
This 429-nucleotide ribosomal RNA is filed under the name Chloroflexota bacterium. Its description in RNAcentral is "Chloroflexi bacterium partial 16S ribosomal RNA". It matches the Rfam family "Bacterial small subunit ribosomal RNA", at positions 355 to 776 of the family's 1533-position model. Lineage: Bacteria; Bacillati; Chloroflexota. The record is from RNAcentral.